RNAcentral lists this ribosomal RNA (253 nucleotides) under uncultured bacterium. RNAcentral's name for it is "partial 16S ribosomal RNA". It matches the Rfam family "Bacterial small subunit ribosomal RNA", at positions 524 to 776 of the family's 1533-position model. The record is from RNAcentral.
GACGGAGGAUGCAAGCGUUAUCCGGAAUUAUUGGGCGUAAAGCGUCCGCAGGUGGAUAUACAAGUCUGCUGUCAAAGUGCAGAGCUUAACUCUGUAAAGGCGGUGGAAACUGUAGGUCUUGAGUAUGGUAGGGGUAGAGGGAAUUCCCGGUGUAGCGGUGAAAUGCGUAGAGAUCAGGAAGAACAUCGGUGGCGAAGGCGCUCUGCUGGACCAUAACUGACACUCAAGGACGAAAGCUAGGGGAGCGAAUGGG